UGGCUUCCACUCUGGAAGAAUCUGGAGGACAGGUGCUGCAUGGCUGUCGUCAGCUCGUGUCGUGAGAUGUUGGGUUAAGUCCCGCAACGAGCGCAACCCUUGCCUUUAGUUGCCAGCAGUUCGGCUGGGCACUCUAAAGGGACUGCCGGUGUUAAACCGGAGGAAGGUGGGGAUGACGUCAAGUCCUCAUGGCCUUUAUGACCAGGGCUACACACGUACUACAAUGGCCGAUACAAAGGGCAGCGACACUGCGAGGUGAAGCCAAUCCCGUAAAAUCGGUCUCAGUCCGGAUUGGAGUCUGCAACUCGACUCCAUGAAGUUGGAAUCGCUAGUAAUCGUGGAUCAGCAUGCCACGGUGAAUACGUUCCCGGGCCUU
RNAcentral lists this ribosomal RNA (376 nucleotides) under uncultured Desulfobulbus sp. Its description in RNAcentral is "bacterial SSU rRNA". It matches the Rfam family "Bacterial small subunit ribosomal RNA", at positions 1007 to 1382 of the family's 1533-position model. The record is from RNAcentral. Lineage: Bacteria; Pseudomonadati; Thermodesulfobacteriota; Desulfobulbia; Desulfobulbales; Desulfobulbaceae.